AUGCACGAGUUGUUAGGAUUAGUCAAGUUGAAUAGUGGCAAGCUACAUGCAUGGAUCAAGUUUGGCCUGGUCGUGUGGCCGUUGAGGAGAAGCCGCACAAGAGCUGAACGUGGGUGCAUGCAGGUAGUGGAGAGUGAGAAACGGAUCAAGCCGUUGUGGCUUGGCCAUGCGAGCAUUGCAUAUUUCCCUUUAAAUAGGCUUGUAACCAUUUUGCUAUUAGAGAUGAGGAAUACAGAAAAGGCACAAGUGCGUGUGCCAGAAAAGCUCUGCGUGUUUGUGUUCUUCCUCUCCAUUGUGUAUUACGUGAGAAGUGUAGGUGUGUCCACUGCGUACUCGCAUGUGUGUAUCCAUCGAUCUCCUGGGCCAUGCCAACAUUUGGUAUUCAGAGCCAUGGUGAUUGAAGGUUCGCGCACUCCGUCUCCGGGUCGCCGCCGUGUCUCGGCCUCGCCGGUGGUGCGCCGAGGCCGGAGCCCGACGUGGCGUGGCUGCCGCGAGGUGGUGGUGCAGCAGGAGGUCGUCCACCAGGCCAGCAGCACCGUCAUCUACCCGGCGCUGACGGCGACGAACUACUUCGAGUGGUCGCUGAUCAUGAAGGUGAACAUGGAGGCCCAACGCGUGUGGGACGCCAUCAAGGGAGGCGGGAGCUUCAGCCAGGACAGGGCGGCGCUUGCGGCAAUUCUGCGAGCCGUGCCGGAGGAGAUGCACUCCACGCUUGCCAUGAAGGCGACGGCAAAGGAGGCAUGGGAUGCCAUCAAGAUCAUGCGGGUCGGCGAUGCCCGCGUCCCUGAGGCCAAGGCGCAGACUCUCCUCAAGGAGUUUGAUGCCGUCCGCAUGAGGAGUGGCGCGACCCUCGAUGAGCUCGCCAUGCGCAUGAACGGGGUCACCAACAAGCUGCGCACGCUCGGCUAG
RNAcentral lists this ribosomal RNA (909 nucleotides) under Triticum aestivum (bread wheat). RNAcentral describes it as "partial small subunit ribosomal RNA". Lineage: Eukaryota; Viridiplantae; Streptophyta; Magnoliopsida; Poales; Poaceae. The record is from RNAcentral.